RNAcentral lists this long non-coding RNA (1070 nucleotides) under Cricetulus griseus (Chinese hamster). Its description in RNAcentral is "lncRNA (ENSCGRG00015030265.1)". Lineage: Eukaryota; Metazoa; Chordata; Mammalia; Rodentia; Cricetidae. The record is from RNAcentral.
GGAGACUUGACUCACAGGGUCCCUCCAUAAGAAACCCAGCUGAGUACACCUAAUCACUACAGAGUAUUCUGUUCUUGCUUCUGCCCUUUAUCACUCCAUAAAAAUCUAACAUCAUACCAUGUUGGAUUCCUCAAACAUGAGUAACUCCAGCACAUAAGUGAAAAAUUCAGGAAGAGGUGGGUUCACGGCCAGUAUGAGCUACAUACCAAGGCACUGCUUCACAAUACAAUCAAAAGUAAACUCUACAAUGAGAUCCCCACUGUUAGUGACAGCCCUACUCGAAGCUAUUUCCUCCUCCAAUUCAACAGGCUCUUCCCAAUAAGGUCCACUGAAGGAAGGCCAAAAAGUCUCUACUGAAUUUCCACACAAGGUACCUCACAAGCUUGUCUAAGAACAUUUGAGCAAUGUGUCAGAAGCCGAUGCCUCAUUUUUCUCUCUUCCUUCAGGAUGGCAACUUUAAUGAGGACAAACCCCAGGAAAAUCUCUGAUAACUCCCAACAACCUGUUCAUGUUCGGGUUUACCACUAUGAAGAAUCCUAUGGCUAAGCAAGUAUUCAGGCAUCAAGUACAAAGGACAAGCACAUACGAAUGCUACAUUGCCAAGAAAUUGUUCUAUCCUCCUGGAUGAAGGAACACAGCUCAUGACAUGUUGUUGACAAACAGCGGCGAAGAAGUCUCCCUCCAGAAGGGAGUGUUGGUCCAUUCCUAAAAGACGCUCACACAUUCAUCACAUAGAUUUCUCAUGUUGAACUUUAUUCUUGCCAAAUUUCUCCCCAAGAAAUGUCACCAGAAACAACAAAGCAGAAAAUAUGAGAGGGAAAUUCAAGAGAAAGAUCUCUGCCAUUGCACAUCAAGACUGCUGUGCUGUGAGGUCAUUCCCAAGCUGGUUUGACUUCUAGAGCAGGCAAAAUGCUAGCCUCGUCUUCAGUGAAGCCACAUCAAGGGCAGAUUCUGAGAUUUGCUGCCAGGCAUUUGGGAGAAUUUUGAUUGUCUUGUCAUCUCAGAUCCAAAGGAAGUACAAGGAGAAGUAUAAUGAAUUGUUUCUACAAAAAGACAAUUUUAGAUUUCAU